GACGAACGCUGGCGGCGUGCCUAAUACAUGCCAGUAGAACGCACAGUUUAUAUCGUAGCUUGCUACACCAUAGACUGUGAGUUGCGAAUGGGUGAGUAACGCGUAGGUAACCUGCCUGGUAGCGGGGGAUAACUAUUGGAAACGAUAGCUAAUACCGCAUAAUAUUCAUUAUUGCAUGAUAAUUAAUUGAAAGGUGCAAUUGCACCACUACCAGAUGGACCUUCGUUGUAUUAGCUAGUUGGUGAGGUAACGGCUCACCUAGGCGACGAUACAUAGCCGACCUGAGAGGGUGAUCGGCCACACUGGGACUGAGACACGGCCCAGACUCCUACGGGAGGCAGCAGUAGGGAAUCUUCGGCAAUGGACGAAAGUCUGACCGAGCAACGCCGCGUGAGUGAAGAAGGUUUUCGGAUCGUAAAGCUCUGUUGUAAGAGAAGAACGGGGGUGAGAGUGGAAAGUUCACACUGUGACGGUAUCUUACCAGAAAGGGACGGCUAACUACGUG
Molecule: ribosomal RNA, 505 nt
Filed under: uncultured bacterium
Lineage: Bacteria
Description: partial 16S ribosomal RNA
Rfam family: Bacterial small subunit ribosomal RNA
Source: RNAcentral